AACGUAGGAGACGAGCGUUAUCCGGAAUUACUGGGCGUAAAGCGCGAGUAGGCGGCUAUUUAAGUGGUCUGUGAAAGCGUCCGGCUCAACUGGACGAGGCCGGAUCAGACUGGAUGGCUAGAGGGUCAGAGAGGCAGGCGGAAUUCCGGGUGUAGUGGUGAAAUGCGUAGAGAUCCGGAGGAACACCAGUGGCGAAGGCGGCCUGCUGGCUGACAACUGACGCUGAGGCGCGAAAGCAUGGGGAGCGAACGGG
RNAcentral lists this ribosomal RNA (253 nucleotides) under Planctomycetota bacterium. Its description in RNAcentral is "partial 16S ribosomal RNA". It matches the Rfam family "Bacterial small subunit ribosomal RNA", at positions 524 to 776 of the family's 1533-position model. The record is from RNAcentral. RNAcentral also lists the same sequence under 1 other name. Lineage: Bacteria; Pseudomonadati; Planctomycetota.